GAUGAAGAACGCAGCGAAAUGCGAUAAGUAGUGUGAAUUGCAGAAUUCAGUGAAUCAUCGAAUCUUUGAACGCACAUUGCGCCCCUUGGUAUUCCAUGGGGCAUGCCUGUUCGAGCGUCAUUUGUACCUUCAAGCUUUGCUUGGUGUUGGGUGUUUGUCCCUCGGGACUCGCCUUAAAGUCAUUGGCAGCCAGUGUUUUGGUUUUGAAGCGCAGCACAAGUCGCGAUUCAAGGCUAUCCGCCCGCUUCCACAAGCCUUUUUAACUUUUGACCUCGGAUCAGGUAGGGAUACCCGCUGAACUUAAGCAUAUCAAUAAGCGGAGGA
This 324-nucleotide unclassified non-coding RNA is filed under the name soil metagenome. RNAcentral describes it as "partial contains 5.8S ribosomal RNA, internal transcribed spacer 2, and large subunit ribosomal RNA". The stretch from base 1 to 120 matches the Rfam family "5.8S ribosomal RNA", at positions 35 to 154 of the family's 154-position model. The record is from RNAcentral.